RNAcentral lists this long non-coding RNA (1007 nucleotides) under Sus scrofa (pig). Its description in RNAcentral is "lncRNA (ENSSSCG00070024192.1)". The record is from RNAcentral. Lineage: Eukaryota; Metazoa; Chordata; Mammalia; Artiodactyla; Suidae.
CUUCCAGCCCCAUCCAACCCCCAAACAGAUCACACGUAUAAACUUAUUUCUAAAAUUAAAAGAAAGGAAAAAAAAAAAAGCUAUAGCAGAGAGGCUAAAAUCUAUUUAUCGAAACCAGCAUAUUUUUGGAAAGCUAAACGUUUCCUCGAUGACUGGCAGCAAUCGCCCGGCUCCCACCUUUGUAUAUUUGGGAAACUUAUUUAAACCUAGUGCGCAGAAACGUAUUUAAUUCCAGGCCUUGGCUUCUCCUCAGGCUUCGGGUUUUAACCCCAGCCUAUCACGUGAACGUCCCGGAAGAGCGCGGCGCCCCCAGCCAUCUUUAUACAGCCAUGUAAAUCCUCCUGUACAAGCGAACACGGAAUAUAUACAUAUAUAACUCAAUAAACAGAAUCAUUAGUGCGUCUUUUAUUCCCCUCCCCCACAACUCGCCACGAAUCGGCUCAGCAACCCCAAAGAACGAAAAGGAAAUAGGUGUUUAUAGUAUUUCCCGCCCAAAUGCGACUUCCUCUGGGGCACUGGGACCUAGGUGAGGCCAAACCAGAGCUCCUGCGGCGUUAAGCCAGUUCGGAUGCCCCCCUUCCCGCCCCCGCUCCAGGCGCAAAGGCCUACGGCGGCCCCCACGUGGUACCAAGUUUUUAUUUGGAGGCUGUUCUGACCAAGGGAUUCUGGGUGUUGCCUUAUUUGGGUGAGAAAAUUAAAAUAAGAAGGGGUUAAAAGUGGCUGGAUGUAGGAGAGCAGGUUUUAGAUGCGUGUCUGGAGAAAAGCGCUGCGCCGCACGAAAGUGAACUGCCAGGGGCACUGCUCCACCGGGGCGCUUCUGGUGGCCAGUCAAAACUCUCAUCCCCAGCUGACUGCCUUCAGAAAUCUCUAUGGAGCAGAGGUAGCGGGGAAAUGAAGACACUCAUCAUGCACAUGGUUUUGUGGACCAGGUGAUGGAGGAUUUAAAUCAUUUCCUUCUCUUUCGCUCUCUCUCCUUUUUUUUUUUUUUUUUUUUUUUUUUUGCUUUU